This 292-nucleotide ribosomal RNA is filed under the name uncultured bacterium. RNAcentral's name for it is "partial 16S ribosomal RNA". It matches the Rfam family "Bacterial small subunit ribosomal RNA", at positions 505 to 796 of the family's 1533-position model. The record is from RNAcentral.
GUGUCAGCCGCCGCGGUAAUACGGGGGGGGCAAGCGUUGUUCGGAAUUACUGGGCGUAAAGGGCUCGUAGGUGGCCAACUCAGUCGGAUGUGAAAUCCCCAGGCUCAACUUGGGAACUGCAUCCGAUACUGGAUGGCUUGAAUCCGGGAGAGGGAUGCAGAAUUCCAGGUGUAGCGGUGAAAUGCGUAGAUAUCUGGAGGAAUACCGGUGGCGAAGGCGGCAUCCUGGACCGGAAUUGACACUGAGGAGCGAAAGCCAGGGGAGCAAACGGGAUUAGAUACCCCAGUAGUCC